GAUGAACGCUGGCGGCGUGCCUAAUACAUGCAAGUCGAGCGAACAGACGAGGAGCUUGCUCCUCUGACGUUAGCGGCGGACGGGUGAGUAACACGUGGAUAACCUACCUAUAAGACUGGGAUAACUUCGGGAAACCGGAGCUAAUACCGGAUAAUAUAUUGAACCGCAUGGUUCAAUAGUGAAAGACGGUUUUGCUGUCACUUAUAGAUGGAUCCGCGCCGCAUUAGCUAGUUGGUAAGGUAACGGCUUACCAAGGCAACGAUGCGUAGCCGACCUGAGAGGGUGAUCGGCCACCCUGGAAAUGAGACACGGGCCAGACCCCCAAGGGAGGCAGGAGUAGGGAAACUUUCGCCAUGGGGGAAAGCCUGACGGGGCAACGCCCCGUGAGUGAUUAAAGGCUUUGGAUUGGAAAACCCUGUUAUUAGGGAAGAAAAAAUGUGUAAGGUACCUAUCCAGUUCUGAACGUAACCAAUCAGAAAGCCAACGCUAACCUCCUG
This 497-nucleotide ribosomal RNA is filed under the name uncultured bacterium. RNAcentral describes it as "partial 16S ribosomal RNA". It matches the Rfam family "Bacterial small subunit ribosomal RNA", at positions 28 to 507 of the family's 1533-position model. The record is from RNAcentral.